AAAGAACUAAAAAUCCGAAAAGGGAGAUUCACGUCUUCUCAUAUGUUAAAUAUAAUAUAUUUAAGGAUAAUUAAUAAUCUAAUACUUUUGUAUUAGUAUUAUUUAUUGCCUUUAUUUAUUAUAAAUAGUAAUGGUAGACCGCACUUCUCUCUUAGUAGGACGUCGCGACCCACUAGUUUAUAAUUUAAGAUCAUAUAUAUUAGUUUUGUUAUAAUGUAAAUUUAUUUUUUACAUUAUAACUCAAAGAUAUGUAUCUAAUUAAAUAAUUGGUGGUAUAAAACGAUAGUGUUUAGUCGCUUUUUUUAAAGCGUUUAAAUAAAUUUUUAUUUUUUAAUAUUAAUAAAUGACAACUUGUUUGCUUAUUUAUUAUAUAAUUAUAAAAAUUUAAUUUAAACCGACUUACAACACUAGUCGGCGGCGCUACAGUUUUAGUAACUUUUCCGACCCGUCUUGAAAC
Molecule: ribosomal RNA, 457 nt
Filed under: Membracioides sp. Colombia 528
Lineage: Eukaryota; Metazoa; Arthropoda; Insecta; Hemiptera; Schizopteridae
Description: partial 28S ribosomal RNA
Source: RNAcentral